RNAcentral lists this ribosomal RNA (617 nucleotides) under uncultured bacterium. RNAcentral's name for it is "bacterial SSU rRNA". It matches the Rfam family "Bacterial small subunit ribosomal RNA", at positions 338 to 950 of the family's 1533-position model. The record is from RNAcentral.
CCUACGGGAGGCAGCAGUGGGGAAUAUUGGACAAUGGGGGCAACCCUGAUCCAGCAAUACCGUGUGUGUGAAGAAGGCCUUCGGGUUGUAAAGCACUUUUAGUGGGAAAGAAAAGCUCAUGAUUAAUACUUAUGAGCCUUGACGUUACCCCACAGAAAAAAGCACUGGCUAACUCUGUGCCAGCAGCCGCGGUAAUACAGAGAGUGCGAGCGUUAAUCGGAAUUACUGGGCGUAAAGCGCACGUAGGUGGAUUCUUAAGUCGGAUGUGAAAUCCCUGGGCUUAACCUAGGAAUUGCAUUCGAUACUGGGUAUCUUGAAUAUGGUAGAGGGAAGUGGAAUUUCCGGUGUAGCGGUGAAAUGCGUAGAUAUCGGAAGGAACAUCAGUGGCGAAAGCGGCUUCCUGGACCAAUAUUGACACUUAGGUGCGAAAGCGUGGGGAGCAAACAGGAUUAGAUACCCUGGUAGUCCACGCCGUCAACGAUGAUAACUAGAUGUUGGGGAGCUUGNUCCUUAGUAUCGAAGCUAACGCGUUAAGUUAUCCGCCUGGGGAGUACGGCCGCAGGUUAAACUUNAAAGGAAUUGAGGCUUGGNGAGNGCGAGACGACACGAGGAGGAGG